RNAcentral lists this ribosomal RNA (498 nucleotides) under uncultured bacterium. RNAcentral describes it as "partial 16S ribosomal RNA". It matches the Rfam family "Bacterial small subunit ribosomal RNA", at positions 30 to 523 of the family's 1533-position model. The record is from RNAcentral.
AUUGAACGCUGGCGGCAUGCCUUACACAUGCAAGUCGAACGGUAACAGGUCUUCGGAUGCUGACGAGUGGCGAACGGGUGAGUAAUACAUCGGAACGUGCCUAGUAGCGGGGGAUAACUACUCGAAAGAGUGGCUAAUACCGCAUGAGAUCUACGGAUGAAAGCAGGGGAUCGCAAGACCUUGUGCUACUAGAGCGGCCGAUGGCAGAUUAGGUAGUUGGUGGGAUAAAAGCUUGCCAAGCCGACGAUCUGUAGCUGGUCUGAGAGGACGAUCAGCCACACUGGGACUGAGAAACGGCCCAGACUCCUACGGGAGGCAGCAGUGGGGAAUUUUGGACAAUGGGCGCAAGCCUGAUCCAGCAAUGCCGCGUGCAGGAUGAAGGCCUUCGGGUUGUAAACUGCUUUUGUACGGAACGAAAAGCCCCGGGUUAAUACCCUGGGGUCAUGACGGUACCGUAAGAAUAAGCACCGGCUAACUACGUGCCAGCAGCCGCAGUAA